AUUUUUUUAGUACAGUAGUACAGAUGACUUCCAAUUAUCUAGCCUUGGUUUAAAUCCAAGAAAAAAUA
RNAcentral lists this transfer RNA (68 nucleotides) under Amolops hongkongensis (Hong Kong sucker frog). RNAcentral describes it as "tRNA-Gly". It matches the Rfam family "tRNA". Rfam says of the family: Transfer RNA (tRNA) molecules are approximately 80 nucleotides in length. Their secondary structure includes four short double-helical elements and three loops (D, anti-codon, and T loops). Further hydrogen bonds mediate the characteristic L-shaped molecular structure. tRNAs have two regions of fundamental functional importance: the anti-codon, which is responsible for specific mRNA codon recognition, and the 3' end, to which the tRNAs corresponding amino acid is attached (by aminoacyl-tRNA synthetases). tRNAs cope with the degeneracy of the genetic code in two manners: having more than one tRNA (with a specific anti-codon) for a particular amino acid; and 'wobble' base-pairing, i.e. permitting non-standard base-pairing at the 3rd anti-codon position. Lineage: Eukaryota; Metazoa; Chordata; Amphibia; Anura; Ranidae. The record is from RNAcentral.